Molecule: long non-coding RNA, 11717 nt
Organism: Gasterosteus aculeatus aculeatus (three-spined stickleback)
Lineage: Eukaryota; Metazoa; Chordata; Actinopteri; Perciformes; Gasterosteidae
Source: Ensembl
GGCAGGACUCAAACGCAGACGUCGAAAGCAAAAGGACUUUAAUCAUCAAAAAGCAAAAGGCCAACACACAAAAACACACACACAGGAACUGAGACCAUCCAGGACGAUAGACAAUGACGCGACAAGUGACAAAAGAGACACACGGCUUAAAUACACAAGGGAGGUGCAGGUGAUUGGACACAGGUGGAAACGAUUAGACGAUCACAGGGGACGACGGGACAAGGCAGGAAGUGAAGUUACCCGGGGACACGAGUGGCAGAAAACUACAAAAUAAAACAGGACGUGAACCACACCGUGACACCACCAACAACCACCAACAACAACAACAACAACCACUGCGUCGCUCUCUUCCAACAUGGGAACAGCAGGAGAUUCUUGAGGGGCAAAACCGAGUCUAGGCUGUUUUUUACAAGAGCAUCCUCCCCUCACGUUCAAUCACUUGCUCAGUGGAGAGAUCUGACCCCCAUCAACUAUCAUCACCAUGCAGCAGGAAAAUGAUUAAAACGAUAAAGAAAUAGAGAAACUGAAUCAAAAUAAGGUAUAAAAAAAGCACUGGACGUUUAGCAGACAUUCAAAUCAGAAUGAAACGGAAUGAACUCUUUUACCAGUCACGCUUUGUUUUGAUUGGUGACACAAUGACUGAAAAACAAAUGGCACCUGGAAAGAGAAACACAUUACCCAAACAAUUAUCUGUGUACCUGCAGUGGUUAUGAACAUAUGUGAAAUUGUGUGUCGUUUUAUAUCUGGAUUUGCAUUCACGACACACCAUGUGUCUACGUCUUAAAUAGUUCUUUCAAAGAGCUCAACCUCAGCCCAAUGGCUGCAUCCUUGAUAAUUGUGUAACUAAACUGAAAACGGAUCCCUCCUUCUUGGCUGGAGUGUCGCCAGGAGUCUCAUUUCUGUUUGGAAGCUCAUCAGGAACAGCAUCAACCCUAAAUUGAUUCUCUUGGCCAGGCGGCGCCUCGCAUGGCCGCUUCGCCGCCAUCGACGUGUGACUCUGAGGCGUGUUGUGAAGCACUUUGUCUGCUACACACAGCAAAGUCCACCAGUCCAAAUCAACACAAUUUGCUCAAAAAAGCGUUUACACAGUUCACAUUGGACUUAUUUUUUAUAUUAUUUAUCAAAUAUCAUGUGUACUGUCAUCAUAUUUUCUAGCUUUUAUUAAACAAACACUACUGUUAUAAUUCUCUGACUGCAGUUUCAUUUUGAGCAACAAACUGAAACUUUGGUGGACAGUUUGGCGUGAAACUUGACGACUGAACCCCAUAUUGUGGGGUUAUGUUUGUGAUAAAUGAAUAUACAUAUGGCAGCACUUUUACUGAAUGGUGGAAUUCAGAAUGAUUUACAGUGACCCUGGUGACACGCAGGUGUGUCUUCAUCAGGAACGAUUGUGAGCUGAGGCGUCUUUCCCUGUCAUUUGUUUUUUGAUUAAGCCUCACUUAUCUCCAAAUUUUAAUCAUCAGGUGCCACAUUUCAAUCAUUUAAAUGCAGAAGCCACAUUUCCCUUGUAGGUCAGUUCGUCUAGAGACGAAGACCGACGUAGGGAAGAAGGCGGGAGGUGGGGGGGGGCUAAAGCUUUAAUUUCCAACGCUUUAUUCUAAAACAGAACUGCAAAUUCACAUUGCAAAAAUACUUCAGAAAGUACAGGUUGCUCCUUGAAUAUAAUGAUUUAUAAAAAAUGAAGAAAAAUACAAAUCAGAAAAUGUAACCGGAUUUGUUUUAGCGUCAGAACUUGUUCUCUAUACUACUCACAAACACACCCCCAUGUUCACUUGAAGCUUAAUCAUUAAUUGAUUACCAUCAUUGUAGUGCAAGUUAAGUAAACGUACACACCCCAUCUAAGUACAGCUAAAAAACAACCAAGUGCUAUGAGAUGAAUUUAAAAUGGCAUUUGUAGCGUCGCCACCACGCUCGCACCCCUUAGACGACUAGUCGAACAGACGUCUCGGCCUGAGUCACGUGACUCACAACAACUGCUGGCUGCGCUUUCCUCUCCGUCGGCUCGGCUCUUCUUUAUUUUUUCUCGGCGCGCAUCUCCACAACUCAUUGACGUAAUAAUCGCGCGACACAACUGAUCGAUUAUGAAAUUCGUUUUCCUUUUAAUAAUCCAAUUUUAUCGAUUUCAUCGAUUUGUUGUUGCAGCCCUAAUGUAAACCCGAAAGAUGAUUUCUUGAACCUUCCCAAAACUAUAGAGACACGAGUUUAUUUUGAAAUGGCUGCAGAGGUUGGCUGGUGUUCUGUGGCAAUGCACUGAAGACCGGAGGACACAACCACUGAUCAUUUGCCAAACCUAACCAAGUAGCUUUGUUUCUAAGUUUCAUUUAAAGCACAUUUCUGGGAGUCAUUGAACAACCUUUACUUUUCUCUAGUCAUUAGAAUAAGUUGCAAGGAGGUUGCAGUGAACUUAUCCAGUUAUUUUUCAUGCUUGCAAUGAUUAAAGGGCAUCGCAAAACAGCCGUGGAGAUGGAUGCAGAAAGCCGCUGUGGGUCUGAACUCCGGUGAGAGUUUGUCUGUUCCCUGAAGUUUGCCAGUUUUAAAGGUCGCGGGCUCCCCCGCUGCUUAAGGGGUCUGGUUCCGCUAUCCGAGGGCCAUUUCUUUGCAUAAUGGACAGCUGUAGGACGCUCGCCCCGCGCCGCCACUCGCGCUCGGACUCUGAUAGAGCUGAUGAUAGAUGGCGGCGUCAGUCAGGCAUGAGCGGGCCCCCAGGAUGCAGCAGUGCACUCGUUUACAGUGAGGCCGGGCCCCGACAUCAGCAGCCAUGAGCCGCCUCGGCUUCUCAUUAUGUGGGACAUUGUGCCUCAAAUCCAACAGAGCAAGGACGGAGCUCCUCGAAAAAUGGAACAUUUUAAAUACAGACGGGUGGUGGGAGGCAUCCGGUGAAAUAAGUGCCGCCCAACGGAUUCACCUUUCGGUUUCCCCAACGUGGCAGUAAAAGAGUCACUUGGGUCCACGUUGUGUCAUUGUUCUCGUCUCCGGGUGCCGACGUUUCACAACAGAUGGAAGAAAGAAAGGCGGAGGCCCGCUCGCUUCUACAGAGCGAAAACUGACACAUUCAUUUGGGCCGGUCUGAUCCAAGCACCACUGGGUUUUUUGCCCUACAAGCAACUGAAGAAAUGCAACGUCAGUGAGGUCCAUCCAUCAGGUGCGGGGGACGUCCGGGAACACGAGACGGCUCGAUGAACGUUGCUGUGGGUGUUCGGAGUCCCCUUUCUUCUCACAGGACAAUUCUGUCCAGAAACACGACUUCCUCUGAGGAUGAACCCUUUUAACAAGAUGAAUCCUGCCUUUGUGCACCGUGCGCCUCAUUCCUGCGCCGUUGUUCUUCUUCUACUUCUUGAAGACUUAACGGAUAUUCAUGAAGUGAUCACAUCCCCAUAAUGUGGUCAAAUGGACUGCUGGUUUAUUUGCAAGUGUAUUUUGUGUAAUUUAUUGUGUCCUCGCACGUCAUUCAAUGGCAAUCAACAUUUGAUAUUUUCACAACUUUGGCUGAUCUUAACUUGAGAAACAUUGAUAGUUUUGCCACGGAGCGAGGCCCGCUGUGGGUGUGCGGGUGCGCUGUGAAUAAUCGUCGGGUAGAAGCCGUCAGGCUUUGAGGUAUUCAAGCCCUUGCCGAUAUUCAUGGAACCAGUAAUAACCGAAGCAAACACUGUCGGUAGAAAGCAGUGAGCAAAUAAAUAGAUGGAAGAAGUUUCAAUAAAUCAUCUUGCGACAACAAUAAUAUCAGCUAAUAAUCUCAGUAGUGUGACUGUGUGAGUGUUUUCCUCUUAAGAGUGUUAAUGGAUUUGCACGCGUGCGUGUGUGUGGUCCGUGUUUGUGUGUAAAUACACACAUUGUCUGUCUGAGUUUGUCGUGGCUCAACAGCAGCUCCGGAGAAUUAAGACAUGCUUUUCAUGAAAAUAUUUCAAAUGGCUGUUUUAGAAAUGAUGAUAGUUGUGCUUUGACGGUUUUAUCGUCAUUUAGUCUCCUUGUCUGCUUUUGGCUGUAUUAUAAUUGCUGUUGUCACAGCUGGCCGACCGGCUGCUAACUCGUCCCGAGUCAAGUUGUCCGUUAUCAGAAGGUCAGCGCUGCUUGGCCCGGGUGUAUUUGGAAUAAUCAUGAGGGGGGGGGGGGUUACUGACCGAGAUAAUUACUGCUGUCAAUCAUAAAACAUGAUUUGGUGAGCUCCAUUUACCCCUCGGAUACAAUAAAUAUUGACCCUGAAUUUAAUGACCGUUUAUACACCGUCACAUAUAUAUAUAUAUAUAUAAUAUUAUUAGUGUAAGGAUGAUUUUGGUGCAUUUCUUUGUUGUUGUAUGUGUACAGAAUGUCUAUAAUUUGAAUAAACUGUUUUUCUCUAAAUCUUUUUUUCUCAGAUUCUGAUUCACAAAUCUCUGCUUCAGUAACUCUUACAUCUUCCAAACUUUACAACUUGUUUCCUUUGUGAAUUCUGGAGGGUUUUUACACAUGGUUUGUUCACACAAGUCAUUUUUAUUGAGAAAAACAUGGCUUUUAACAGAAUGUUAGGAUUAAUGUAUUAAUACAUAUAUUCCCUUAAUAAAAACCUCUGUUUAAAAAAAUCCUGCUUAAUAGACAUGUUUAAUUAAAUAAUACCUCAUUCGCAAAUUAGAUCACAGAUGUUACAGAACUCUGUUUUGUUCUCUGGCUCGAUUAUCCGAACGCAUUAAAACAAAAACAACCUUCUGUAACGACCCGAUUGACCUUCCUGACAAAAUGAAACAUGCACUCUGAGAUCCGCCGUCUCUCGUUAAGGUCAUGAUGCGUUUGGACAAUAACAUCACGUCUCUUCUCACCUCAACCCGAAUGAAGCGCAUCUUAGAAUUAGAUUGCAGGCUAUAAUCAUGCAAUCUAAUUAUUAUCUUGGCGUCUGACGAAUUGUCACUUACAAAAUGCUCCCUCCCUCCUUGCUUCCGUGUGUACUUGGAAAUACUGACAUUUUCAGUGAGACGGCUGGCUGCUAAACAUUAAGAUGUGUCAACUAACACAGCAAAGACAAUUCCUUUCAAAGGAUCAGCCAAAUGAGGCAGAAGGGAAGAAACAAUUUGCCAAUUGUGGAAAGUAGGGCAGAAGUUUAUUGAGCCUCAGAACUGGCGCUCUGAUAAAAAGGUUUCCAAAUGACUUGGUUUGUUUUGCUGUGUUUGUGUCUGUGAAAUUAACUUGAGAGAUGAUAGCGUCGUCCAAUUACCCGGGAAAUUUGCAAGCGGCGCAGCCCGUGGAAUCAUCUGGAUUAAUUGGACCCAAAAUAAACACCAGUGGCUGUUUGGGUGAGACCUCUGAGCUGACCGAUGCGUUUCGGUGACUGAAGGAGUCGGGAGAAGAGGCCCUGCGGAGCUGCGGAUCAGCCAGCGUCUCUGGGGCUGUUUUUCGCAGCUCUUUGUCUUCGCCGAGGAGUCGGGGCUCUGAGUGGGUGCUGGCCCUUUGGAGGAAGAUAAUCGUCCCCUCCGGUGUGAUCCUGAACACAGCUGGAGUCAGACAUUGGAUAAUAUUUGGCGAAGGCAGAUGGUAAAAACAGGAUCUGGCAGCUUUUAACCCUCAGCGGGCAUCGUGUAAAUAGUGAAACGACUCGUCACAUUAGAUCGGGGGGGUGCAUGUCGGGAGCGGCUCGCCGUGUCCGUUUCUAGCAAAUUCCACACCUCACAGUGCACCUCCACUGGCGACGAGGGAGACGGCAACGGUGGCUGCUGUGUUAUAUCAUGUUACAGUAUCAUGCGUUAAGCACUGCGACCAUCACCCGGAUCUUUAGGCAGCGGAUUUCAAUCUGUCCCAACUCGAUUGUGCAAUGUUGUAAUGUUGGGGCCACAUCAUCCGUCGAAGCUGUCCACUAACAGGUCACUGGAGGGUUGAUUUAGAAAGAUAAUUCGAACCACUCAGCAACCCUAAUCCAGGUAUCACAUAAAUUAAAGUAAUGUGGUUACUUUCCAACACUCUUGGAUUACCUCAAUAGCAAAUAUGCAAAUAAAGACGAGAGAAAAUUGAUCACUGAUUAAAUUGGACCUUAAAGCCACUGCGAGGUGGAUUCUGGCGGCCCCUCUGGAGGAGAGCGGUACUGUUUCUCCUCACUGGCACAGACUGCAAGUCGCACAAGACGUCCCGUGAAAGAACUGUAAUUCGACAUGCAGCGAGAGUUAAGAUGAACCUCUGCGACUAAAGGGAAUGCUGGGAUGAAUCUACGUCAAGGCAUCCGCCCGUCUCUCUCUAGCUGCCACGUAAUUAACGUUGUGCACAUAGAAAUGUGGGCUAAAGGCUUUGUUAAUUAUGCUGUUCGCACUUCACAUGGAUCUCUGCAGCUGGAAGGCAGAACGCGCGCUCUACUGUGUGAUGUUGUUCCCCCUUUCUGCUUUACUAAAUAAUUGACCAAGUUUCCACUCAGUUAGAUUCCUUUCCCUCAGCAGACCGCGGUCGAGCUGUUUCACUAUAUAUGCAUUGUUUUCUAUUUGUAAAGUUUAUAUUAAAAUUGUAAUCGGUUAUUCUUCCUUUGACUGAAACAGAAUACAGUUAAUAAUCAGAUCAACCUUAAUCAUGCUUAAUCUUUAAAACAUUUUACAUUAAUUUCUCUGAACAAUACUGGUAGAGCAAAUAGAAGAAAGACUUUACAUUACUAUAAGCUUGGAUGGAUAUUGAUCUAUAUAGUAUAUUACAUGUAACGCUUUAAAUUCUAAUUGGUUAUUAAUCCGUAGGUCGCACAAUAAAUAAGGAGCCAUAAGCUCCUUGGAUGUAUAUUUACCUCGUCUCCACCUCAACGAUCCAACUAAACAAAAGCUGUCUUUAAUUCAAUGUGUCACUUAUAAAGUGACUGCAAAGCUAAAAACGUGUAGAAACGCAGGAAUUUCUUUUAUCUUCCUCGGGGGACGACGUCCCGCGCACUUUGUAGAGUGAGAGUUGGAGCUUCAGCGUGAAAAUAGAGUAAAAGAUUGUUUUCUCUUGUGAAUUCAAAGCGUCAUCAGAUUAGAAAGUCUCGUUGUGCUUUUUUUGCAGCAGAAAAUUCCAGCAGGGCUUCAGAAACUAAUCAAAUAAUGCAGAUAGUGAAGUCAUGCAGAAGCAACUUAAAAGCUGCAUUCUGUGUAGUGACCAGCGGGGGGCGACUCCUCUGGUCCCAUAGAAGUCUAUGAGAAAAUUACUACUUCUUUCUCUCUACCUAUUCCCUCAGUAAACAUUGUAAACAUGAGUUCAUGGUCUCAAUCGUUGGUUUCAAGUCUUCUUCAAUACAGCAUGAUGUUCAUUACAGUCCAGAAAAAGACAUUUGUUGCCAUGGCUACGACAAUUAGUGUAGGUGUGUAGUCAUAAGCAAUGUCUUGAUGCAACAUUCUUUGUUUGAAAAUGAUUUUAUACAAGUGAUAUUUGUACCAUGGCUUGUGUUAAAAUGAGGUCUACUGACGGACUGCAGGAUACAAAACGAUUCCAGAAACAAGACCUUUUUUGUAACAGCGAAUCCAUACAGUGAAUAAAGAUGAGGAUGUGUUUGUAGAGCUCUUAGAAUCCCUGCAGUGAGAGGCCACUACACUUUGGACAGGUUGAAGACGAGGAGGAGACGUGCUGCGCCGGGUUGAGACGAAGAUGACAGUCACGCUGCACAACCUCAAACACCGCUUUGGACCGAAAAGGUCACUUUGUGAUUGUGGGGGAAACUCAUUGAAACCAACAGGUGUUAAGAAGCCGGAGCUGGGACUGUGGAGAUGAGUGAUCAUCAAAGCAGGAGGUGAGCUGACCUGACCACAGGGAGACCUUCCGCACGUUCUAAGGAUCUCUGUCCUCUUUAACAAAGUCAGUUACUGCAAAGUCGGCUGCUUGAAGUCCCCGAUGAUGACUCCCUGUUGGUGGAAUAACAGACGUGUUUCUCACAGUGAGGCCUAAAGAGACUGUUUUUAUACUCUCCAGAACAGCUUCCUUUCUGAAGCGAUAAGUCAAGACAUGCUCAAAGGAUUUAGCCCCAAAAGUUGAAAGGUAAUUCUGCAGCUUUAGACAUUUAAAAAUCCUUCUUAAAAUCCUUCUGAAUAUCAAGCAGGUUUUCCACAUUGGUGCAAUGAGAUUUAAUCUGUUUUUAAAAGUAAUUCUUGUAGGUUCAAACUAAGUCGCCUGUCGGUUCAAUGAAGGAGGAUCGAUUUUGCAGGUACAUUGGAUCGUUACUGAUGUGGCACAUUAGCACAUAACAUCUUAGUGACCGAAGGCAACAAAGACGCGACUCUGGACUCUGGGAAUAAAACCAGCAGGUGGAAAAUUGAACCUCUCAGCAGAGUCCGAGGACGAGCUGGCGGUGAUGUGCACUCGUUCUGCUACAGGUCGGAAAGUGAAGCGUCACAAAGAUAUUUAUCGAGGAGGCCGCCGACAACCGAUUGGUUUCUGUGUAAUAGAAGGAAAGACGAUUGGCUCGGUGUGUGAGGGAUUUAUGAAGCAGAGAAGCUCCGAGCGUGACAGUGACAGAGAAGCUGAGAACACACGUUGCUGACUCGUGGCUUUCUUCCUGAGUGAUCAGGAAUUAAAUUUCCUGCGAAGAAAUAUCUGCACAAUUAAAGGUAUUCUUCAAAUUCACUUCACUGAAGGCAAUAUCGUGGCGCUCUCGUGAAUAACACAAUAUUGCAUAUCUAGCAGGGCACAUAAUUAGUUAUUACAUAAGUGAGUUUAUCUCAAAUCUUAAAGCUCCACAACGUCGACGCCGAAGAGCGAGCUGAAUGUCAGACGUAACCAGACACACUCCUGACACUCUCCUGCAAAAUCAAUUAAUGAGGUCAUUUAUAAUUCAAAAGGGUGGACCUGCACUAGCAGCUUUGCUGCUUGUUAAAGGACUUAUGUUACUUCAUGGUUGAAGUGGGGGGGCAACAAUCCUGUUUAAAGGAAUCCUGCUCUCGUGUGCUCGGUCGCCACUGGUUUUGUGUCUCGUUUUGCAGGAAUUCCCGGAGCACUUCGCUUGGUAAACUGCAGUAGGACGAUACGGGAGGUCUGCUACAUAAGAAGGCGCCAGCCCAUUUAAAACCUCAGAGAAACAAGCAAUAAAAUCUUAAAAUCAAUGGCGGAAUGGUCAGGAAGCCUGGGGAGGGAGGCCGGAGUCGCUGAUAUGUAAUCCUGUUGUCUUUCCAAGAGCAGCUGCCUAUUGGUGCUAAAAGCAGAUGACCGCUUUUCACAAACAAGCAAAUAAUUAGAUAAUAAAAGAACAAAUAACUCUCACAAGAUCUGGGGGAGGGAGAUUAAAGGCUAUUAUUUACAGGUUUAUAAUGCAGAGUUGUGAAAAAAUACGUCACAUGCUCCAGAUCUAAUAAUCGGAUUUGCUAACGGAUUUGAUAAAUGUGAGAAUGAUGAGCUUCUUGGAAAUGUCUCCACAUCUCCACAAAAAGUGGAUAAAAGCCUCGUUUGAAGACGUUCAGAGGUUCUGCAAAGUGAAUUUCUGGGACAGGAAGCACACAGCGCUCCACGCGCCCCCAUUUCUACACGGGAUGGAUGUUCUUUUUGCGUUGUUACGGGACGCAGGGUAUCCAUUACUCCCACGUUCACUCGCCUCCUUCUGAGAAGACGAUGGCAUGACUCCGGCUGAGUGGAGGAGAACCCCCGUGGAGGGAACACGUGGAGAAGUAAAGGUGAGAGGGAGGAGUUGGUCAGAGCGGCGCCGGCACCACGCUGAGUGUGUGGGUGCAGGGCUGGUACCUCACGCCGGUUUGCACGAGAUGAUGGAGACUCGUCUAUAAGCAACGCGAAACAUUCUGCAACAUUCUUAAAACAACGUCGUUCUGUUGCAGCCGAGUCGAUGAUCAAGGCCUUCAAAAUGAAAGUCUUCAUCACAAAACAACAAUUCAAAAAUACACAUCCACGGGCCGAUUCAUUGAUCGAAAAGGUUGAAAAAGAUUUGACUUGUUUUUAACAUUUACGUUAGACAUCGCUCAGUGGAAAACCAGCAAACUCCCCACAUGAUGGAAUAGGACAUCGGCCCCCGAACAUCACGCUCAUCCUGUUUAACAUCUCAUUACAAAACCAAAGGAAUUAAUCUGCAGCCUCCACUCUUCUGGGAAGGCUUUUCCACAAGAUGUUGGAACCUGCCUGCAGGGAUUUGCCCCCAUUGAGCCACGAGAGCUUUAAAGCGAGGUCGGGCGCUGGCGCCGGGUGAUAAGGACCCGGUUUUUCAGCGGGCUUUGGAUCAAAGCUCUUUGAGGAAAGUUCUUCUGCACCACAGUCUGGAGAUGUUAGUCUGCUCCCCAUUGAAUAGAACAUCAGCUGUAGCAUUAACGUUUCUGCUGAAAGAGCCGCGGCGGCCCGCGUAGCUCUGCCGCUACCUUUCGGAUGGCUGUUUGGUGAACCGCUGCAGUGCGUUAAUGGCCCCGUGAAUGACUGCAGUGCACUCCCACGGUCCUGCAUGCCACGAUCUGGGAGCCGCAGAGGCCCCGGCUGCCUCGGCUCGUAAGUGGAUUUUCUGUGUGCUCCGUUUUUGUGAGGCUUGUUUAUUGGCAGCCCUCACCGUCUCAGCAGUUCCAGCUGUGAUAGAUGAGCCAGGUGGCGCGCUCUAUUCUCCGGGUGAGGAGAGAGAGAGAUAGAGGGAGGGAGGGAGGGAGGGAGGCAGAAUUGCUGCUUCCAUCACUUCUGGUGACCUUACGUGCCUGAUUAUGCCGCCCGCCAUCACUCCAACCGAGCAGCCUCAUUUGCACAACUGCGCCUAAUGAUCAGAGCUCUUCUACUGUAAAGCACCGCACGUCACAUCUCCUUGUAAGGGCUGACUGGACCCGACUGACGGUCCGGUGUUUGCGUGCUCUGCCGUCGCACUAAUCGGCCCAGGGAUGCGUGCGGCAUCCUUAACGGUGCGAUCAGAGCGGCGAGAUGUGAUUAAGACGAAGAACGAGAGAGAGACAGAGAGAGAGAGAGAGAGAGAGAGAGGGGCGUCUUGGAUGACAAAGUGCUUUGGCUUUUUCUUUCUUCCUCUCGGGCUGCUGCCGGCUGUCGGUUAGAGCCGGUCCCCGUGCGAUCCGAUAACAGCAGGGAGGGGAGAGUCUGCCAAUCAACAGCAGCCACGGACGCUUUGUUCUGCAGGGCCGCCGGGCGGCAGGGGUCCGUCCACGCCGCCAGGCUUUCACGCCGUCUUCGUGAAUGUAUACUCUUGCACGCGUUCGUAUGGAUUAACGCCAUGGCAACAGGGAUAGGGGAGUGCUAAUUGGCUGAAGGUGUCAUGCGGCGUCCUCGUUAUUGAUGCCUUUAGUUUUUUAUUAGUACUCACUCUCCAAUCUCCAAAAUGAUGCCAUUUAACGCUCAUAUUCUUGCAACCGGAAAUUGAUAUCUGAAGGAAAUAGAAUCUUUACAUUGCUUCAAUUUAUUAUCAAUACAACGACACAUUUAUUAUCAUCUGCCAAAAAAUGUCAUUUGUUUUCCCUUCAAAAUGUGCUUGUGGCAACUAAAGCAUGACAAAUGUAACAGCCAGAAGUGACCAUAACUAAUAGCAGUGGUCAAAUUAGUAUGUGGGACUGCAGAUUUGAAUCAUUAUGAUUCAUUGUGUUCAUUUUAGUCAAAUGAAUAAUGUAUUUGAUGCUUGGAUAAAAAGGUUAAUGUGGCUUUUUAAAAACUUUAUUCAAGAUAAUCCAAUAUUAUAAAUAACCGCAAGAGCAAAAUAAAUGUAUUCUGAGGGAAAAAGAACAAGCAAAAUAAAUAAAUAAAGCCAAUUUGAAAUAUUCUUCUAUUCAGCUGGAUCCAGAGUGUCCGUACAGGUUUAUGCCUUUUAUUUUGAUGUUGUGCCAGGAGAGGCUUCCCUGAAA